GUCUGGGUUAGCUAAAUUAACCGACUGGGU
This 30-nucleotide non-coding RNA is filed under the name Vibrio phage 1.183.O._10N.286.48.B7. The record is from RNAcentral. Lineage: Duplodnaviria; Heunggongvirae; Uroviricota; Caudoviricetes.